CCCCACCCCCUUUUUCAUCUCUUCUCCCACUUGUUAUCCAUUUCACUCAAGAUCCUAUCAAUUUUCCAAGAGAUUGUUGAAGAACCAAGGUUUUAAUUGCUUCCUACCGAUUAUUUCGUCCAAGAAAAGGUGAAAUUUUGUGCGAGACGCGUGAUACCAAAGGAAAAGCGAAACUUGAAAACUAAAGGAUCGAGGUUGAGCGGCGACGGGCGGUUGGCGGUGUUGAGCAGGAACUAAUAAUGAACUGUGGUUGUUUUGGUUUUGAAAUUUCGAGUGUCGUUGUGUCUUCACACAUGACGUCACUCUUCUCUUGGAUGCUUCCGCUGUGAUAUUUUUCUUAGAAUACUUUUCAUUUAAAUUCUGAAACUAUUUUAUGAUGGGAUGUUUGAAACUCGUUACACUUUUUGAAUAAAUGCUAAACCCUAGUCUUUAUUCAUUAAA
Long non-coding RNA from Salvia splendens (bonfire salvia), 441 nucleotides. RefSeq lists it as uncharacterized. The record is from RefSeq and is a predicted model, not a curated record. The transcript has 3 exons. NCBI's taxonomy places the organism in Eukaryota, Viridiplantae, Streptophyta, Magnoliopsida, Lamiales, Lamiaceae.